This 11560-nucleotide long non-coding RNA is filed under the name Nicotiana tabacum (common tobacco). RNAcentral's name for it is "long non-coding RNA (NTAB_LNC001214)". The record is from RNAcentral. Lineage: Eukaryota; Viridiplantae; Streptophyta; Magnoliopsida; Solanales; Solanaceae.
UUUCUUAACCUUCAAGUCAAAAGCUCUCUUUUUCACUUUUGAAUCCUUGGUUCUAAAGCAAAAUUGACGUUAAAUUCAUGUUAUAAUCAUAGAUUUGAGUGAUAAUCAUUUCAAAAAUUGCCUCAGUUCAUUAACUUCUAAAAUAAUAAAAUAAUGUCCAAGUACUGAAUGAGAUUAUAUACAUAAGUGCAGAAUUUUUUAGUGCAAAUUUUCAGAAUAACAAUAUUGCCCUUCUUUUACUAAAACAGUCAUAAUUUUUCGUGCGGAUGUCGGAAUGACGAACAAUUUAAAUUUUUGAAAACUAGAUUCAAAGGGAUACAACUUUCAAUUUGAAUCAUCCCCAAAUUCUAUAAAGAUUGCGAUCAAUUCUCUUGUGAAUCAAGCAAAGUGCAGAAAAUCACGCUUAACACUUCAAAUCUCAAAAAUUUGCUCCAUACGCGCCAAUAUUCACUUGAGCCCCUUGGGUAUCCUUCAAACCAUCCCGACACCAAAUACCCUAUAUCAGUAGGCUGAAAAUACAAAUAAAAAUGCUGCAACACAGUCAACUUUCAAAAAGAAAUAUUAAUUGGUGUUUCACUUUAGUACAUACUUAACAAGCUAUCGUGUCACUCUUAAUGAUCAAGAGAUUAAAUUAUAAUAAAUGAGCGAAUAUUGAAAUUGGAAUAUUAUACGUGUAAAUGUAAUGCACAAAAUCUAUGUUUGUAUGGUGAAAAAAGCAAACCGGAGGAUAAAACGUUAUUGUGGACCAUUUCUAACAUCCCAUUUGGGGUGAUAUUAGUGAAAUCUGUAUACAAAAAGAGGUGAGGUGGCACUCUCCUAUCCCAAGUUUUAUAUAUAUCUUUGCCAUUUUCUUCUUACGCACCUUUUAAAAAACAUUGCUAUGUUAAAACUUCAAUACUCACCUUUUUACAGUUAUGGAUUGUAACUGUUGGGAAAAACACAUUAGAACCUCGACGUUUAGAGCAGGAAUCUAUAAGAACUCUUAAUUUGUUUGCUUUGUCCGAUAACGUGUAGAUCCAUAUCUAUAGAUAUUAACAUGACAAGUUGCUAUCGUUCCUCGAAUGAUGCGAACGUUUCAACUUUCAGAUAGUAUGCGUCUUUUAUCCUUGAUUUUCUUUCUGCUUCCUAUUUCAAAAGUUUUUUUGCAACUUAAUUUAUAUGUAUUACUUAGGAACAGUGCUACGCAAUUAUGUUUCUUCAUCAUCUCCGAAGUAGUACCAAGUUUUCUGCCAAAAGAAUUUACCUUGAGUAAGUGUUAUUUAGGAAAACUUAGUAGGUUUCAUGCUCCUUAGUACUUAUUAAUAAAAAGGAUUGCUCAAGUAUUUGUUAGAUUUAUAUUUAUCUAAUUUCUCAGAUUUUUUCAACUUUUCCCCUUAUUUCCUUUUAUCCCGUUGAAUUCUAUUUCAAAUUUUACAAAUUGUUUCUAUUAUAACCUUAUUAAUUCCCUUUUUCUAUUAGAUAUCGUUACAUAAUAUUCCAGUUACAGAAUAAGUUCCCAUACAUCUUACCCAAUCCAUUGUUCUACGUGACACAAAUUUUGAAAAGUAUUUCAGCGGGCAAUUCAUUUUUUCUUUUUGAAUUUAUUAAUUUUCUCUAUGAAGCUAAAAUUUCUAUUACUGAAUUGAAUGAUUUGCUAAUUCUGAUGAACGAUGAUUGACUUAUCUUUUGAACAAAUGCGUGAUGAGCAUUUGAUUAUUUGUUUGCUUAUUAAAGUUUGUUGUGAUUUUUGGAGCAACAUGUUCCACUGGUAUUUGCUACAUUUUACAAGAACAUCAAGUAAGUUCCUUUGUAGGACUAAAAAAUUAGUUCUCUUUUACUCUGUCUUUUUACUUUUGACUAGGUGGUGUUUUCAUAUUAUCUUGAUAUGUAUGGACGUAAAUUAUAGAAGAAUUUAGACCUAUCCAAAAAACAAAAAAAAAUUAUGUUACUAGAAAAAGAGAGAUUUAACAUUCUUUUUUUGAAAAUAAUAAGCGAGCCAGUUAGGAAGUUAAAGAAAAAAUAAUUAUAGACAAGACUUAUCAAAAUUGAUUUUGUGGAUUUUCGAAUCAUAAGACCAUAAAAAUUUAUUUCUUUCAUUAAAAGAAAAAAAUUAGAUACUUCUGUACAUAUAUUAAAGAAAAAAUCAUGUUUCAACACUUAUUAAACACAUGCAUAUAAAUACUUUACAUGUUCUAACGGACAAAUUUUAUAGAUUUACCUAUAUAGGUUAUACAAAAAAUAAAAAUUUUUAGAUGACGAAAACCCUUACAUGAUAAAAAAUUAGAAAAAAAUAAAAAAAUAAGUGUUAAUAAUAAAAUAGAUUAAAAUUACUUUAAAAUUAAGUAGGAACAAAUAUUACAAAAUAUUGUUUGUAAUAAUUAAUAUCACGUACGACCAAUAUUUGCCUCUAAAUACAAUCGCUAAUGUAUAUUAUUAUCUACCGUAAUUAAAAUAAUAUUGUUUACAAGCAACAUAGGGUUCAAAGGCCUAAUUUAUAAAAUUGCAAGAAGUUAUAAUUGGGAUGAUUUUUAUAUGGAUUUUCUUUUCUAUUUUAACUUUCUCAUACGCAUGUCUUACAAAAAAAAAUUAAAUUGUUGGUGUUAAGAAAGUGUUAUUUCUUUUAACUUGAUUUGACUGCGCAAAGCGCGGUUAAUUUAACUAGUUAAUUAAAAAUGCUAUUUCCAUGUCAUCGUGAUAGCAUUUCUUAUUUUCCCCACAGAAUUUUAGGAAUCCAAAAAACUCCAGAUCGCCUAUGCAUUAAUUUCCCUACAGAGCGGAGAAUCCAAGAAUUUCUUUUACCUACUAACUUAUGGCAUCGGUAAACCAAAUUAGUAGUAAUUUUCUCCAUCAUAGCGUACUAAAACAUCAUAUAUGCAUAUACAACAUAAAUCUUCUAAAAUAAGUGCUUUUUGCUUUCAAAGUUAAAGUAUUUGGCCAAGUUUUUAGAGGAAAAAAAAAAUAUUUUUGAGUAGAAGCAAGUAGUUUUGGAGAAGCAGAAAAAAAUAACUUCUCUUCAAAAGCACUUUUUUUGAAAAGCAUUUUUUGAGAAAAAUACGAAGCAGUUUUUAAAAGCUUGGUCAAACUCUAAUUGCUGCUCAAAAUUGCUUUUCAAAUAAAUUAGUCAAACACAUACUGCUUCUCACCAAAAAUACUUUUGAAAAAAGCACUUAUCAUAAAAAAAAAAAAAACUUCUCAAAAUAAGCUGAUUUUUGCAGCUUGGCCAAACAGGCUAUGAUUGUAGAAUUUUCGUGAUUUAACACUUUAACCAGUGAUUAACAUGCACAUAGCUAAUAAUUAGCUAUAUUGCUACAAAAGUUGUUGGAUGUGCAGACAAAAUCCUAUAUUGAUAGCUGAAAAGAUUGAAAACUCACAUAUAAAAUGUAAAAAUCUUUAAAUGAUACGAAGUCUUUUGGGAAAAACCAUGCAGAUUUGACCCAAAGCGCACAAUAUCACUUCAUGUUAAGACUACUGUGUUUUGGGAGAAACCACGCAGACUUGACCCAAAACGCACAAUAUCACUUCAUGUUAAGACUACUUUCGGGCUGGUUGAGCCUAGAGAAGUUUUUGUGACAUAGCCAUAUUACUAAAGCUUUUGCAACAAAAAAUAUAUAUUAGAAACAAAUAAUUUUACUCCUUACGACAAAUCGAAUAUUUAGCAGUUGUGGAUGACCAAUUAUAUAUUCAUGUCAUAUACAUACGAAAUGAAAGUUGAGAACCGACAUCUUUGGGCAUUUCCAAACUCUCAAGUGUCAUGAAUACGUACAACUUGGCAGCUGACAAAACACAUGUACCGAUCAAAUACACAAUAAUUUCAUGAAACAUGAAAUGGAAGCUGAGAAAUAACUCUACUUUAGCCAAGAUAAUUUGAAAGCGAAUACAACAAUAAGUAUGCCUUAAUCCCAAAAUCUCUAGUAAAAGCGAGGUGUUUCAAGAACAAAGAAAUAUGGGAAGGCAUAGUCAUGAGUCCCUCUCUAGAAACCGGAAAAUGAUUCAGCAGAACAAGAGAAGCAUUUAUCUGUUACCCAUUUGGAAGUUGGAACAAUCGAAACUCCAAAAAGCAUGAGUCAAAAGCCAUCACUUGAUUGUAACAAUCUUGAUCCCAGAAGCAGCUCCAAUGCAGUGUAUCGCUACAAGACAAUCACUUUCCUUGCAUAACACUUAUGUUUUGGCAUGUUGAAGAGCGAAUACCCUUGGAUGUUACCUUUUGAGCCAAGAAUAUCUUCUCAACUGAAAUCUCCGUUACCAUAAAUGCAUUAGAGUUGGCAAGAAUGUUGUCAUAAAGCCCCGGGGCAUAUCAUGACCCCGCUUGAACAUUGCUCCAAAAGUUUCCUUUUUGUCAAUGUCAAGUGGAUUCAACAUCUGUUAAACAACUUUUUCAUGGUUUGACAAUAAUUUACACAUAAAAUUAGUAAAAGAUUUUGACAAGUGUUCAACUGGAUACGCUUGUACAAGCACAGGUCCGCCACUGUUUUAGAUGGAUGGAAUUCUUCAGCCAAAGCUUAGAAAUUAAGCCUCCAACUAUAGAUCAGUAAAUCGCUCAUAGCAAUACAUCUCACCAACUAUGUACACACAGUUCUGAAAGUGAUGAAUUUAUAAAGUGAGCCAACCUUGCUACACAACCUCACUGGUCCAAUCAUUUAUUUCCCAAAAUGUGUUAAUAAAUGCACAAAAUUCAAAACCCCAACCCCUCUCCAACCCUAUGAUUCCAGCAACUACGCAUCAAUUCCAAGUAAAUCGGAUGGAGCCCUCAAUAUUCAUUCUGCUCAAUUUAGACUCAUUUCACUCCAAUGCCGGAAAAGAUUACCAAACACCCAAAGAACCUACUAAUAUACAUAUAGAUUAAACUACUUGUGUUCGUUAAUAUACAUUUCAUACGGCCGGUCACAUUAAAUAAUGAGAAAUAUUAUUAUUCAUCUUCAAUAAUAGAAUAUUGCAGAUAUUUUUAAUGCAAAAUACUAUGAAUCGGUUCAUCUUCAAUUCUCACAUGCAUCUUCCAAAAACAACGGAUAUAAACUUAGGCUAACUUUCUUCAUUGGGUCAACUUGGAAACAAAUUUUACCAUAAUUUAUUUCCUAGCCAAACUAUCUAGCUCUAAUUAUUUAGAGAACUAUUUGAAUGCGAUUCAUUUCCUGGAGGCAAGCAAGAGAGUCAACUGAAUCUUGCAAAAUUUUAACAUGGAGGCCGACCUUGUAACAAGUUAGAACAAUAAUAAUAAAAAUGAAACAAUUAUAAUUCAUGCAAGAGAACCCGUUUAAUUAUAGAUAAGUGUAUAAAUUACAAUCUUUAAAAAGCAAUAAGAUGUUCACGCAAAAACAUUCAUAAUACGUGAAUUAUUAUUUCUAACAUCCCAUUGCUUAAACAAAAUUUUGGUCUUUCGGUAUUAUUCUCAUGACAACCACAACUAGUAUGCAUCUAUCCUUUUCUCUAUAUUGUAAUUCUAUAUUAUUGUACUUGUAAAUAUGUAUCCAGAUACAUAUGUGACAAUGUACAUAAUUUUCGCAAGUAUGCAUGGAUAUGUAUAUAUGUUUUUUAUGCAUGUUGUUGGAAUGUACGCUCAUAUUAUAUUAGUCAUAAAUUGAUUUUGGUAAUUAAGUUGGUGAAUAUUUCAGUCAAUGUAACGUGGCUCUCAAAGACACAAGAAGACCGUGCAUGGCGUUGAACCUUUUUCUGAGAAUCAAGAAAAGACUUUCUUUAAUCAAUAGGAUUCAAGAAAAGACAACUCCUCCUACAACACAAAAUGAUUUAAUUACUUGAAAGGAACUUUAUAUCUUCGACUUUAACUGCUAUGACGGUUAAUUUUGCUCUAUGUAUGUAUAGAAGAAUUUGGAUAGUCAAUAUCAUUUUGUGAGAACUAUGUUGAAAUAGGACAUCAACAUCCAAUUUCAAAAAAGUCUGUAAGAUUUUACUUUAUAUAUUUUGUAUUUUCCAUUUCACUAUUUUUGCCUUGUCAAGAAUCGUGAAGACAAAAUCAACUUAACCAACGCCAUGCUAGAAACAAUAAAUACUUCACGCUUUAUGAAUGAUAUCGUAAUAGCAUCUCGUUACUUUUCAAAGGUCGUAAUAUAUAUGAACCUCCCUAUAAUGAACUUACUCUCUAGCAUGGAUUAUAAGUGUUCCUCUGUUGUUUCUAACUUGCUUAUGUUCAAGACCUGUCAAGGUUAGCCUCCAUUUUUUUAAAAUAAUGCAAUCAGUAAUUUAAUCAUUUCUCUUGUAUUUCCCAAAAAGAAAAUUGCAUUGAAAUAGUUAGAAUGAGACAUUCUAAUCAAGAAGGUAUAGUAAAUUGCACCCAAGUUGCCCAAGUUAAAAAUAACAAAUUUCUCUAACUUGAUAUUCAUUGUUUUCGAAAAAUGCAUGUGAGAAUCGAAAAUUAAAUCGACCGAUGGCAUUUUGCCUUUUGAUAUGAAUAAUGCGUUUGAUUAUAUUGCAUUUUAGUAGCAAUUUAUUUUCCUAAUAUGUUUUUAAGCAUGUUGUCGGUAUUUAUGUUUUCAUCUUAAAACAGUCAUAAAUUGACUUUGGCUCUAAAAGACAUAGUUUAUGGAUAUACGUGAUGUUGAUCCUAAUCUCUCGAGAUUCGAGUAGUCCCUUAACCUAAAGGAUUCAUAUAGAUGUUCAUAACACGCAGCGGAAGACAAUAACAAUCCUAUAAACAUCUUUUCGUAUUUAAAAUUUAUUUAUAUGUCAAAGAUCAGAUCUAAGACGUACCUGGUGAACAGAGUCGUUUUAAAGUUUCUUCGAUAGUGCGAAACUCUAUGUGUAUCCACACCGAGACCGAUCUUGCUAUCAACUCUUUGAUUAAUGAAACCCGCGAACAAAUUGUAUGAAAAUAUUGUACUACAGUUUUUCUCAAAAAACUUAGCCUAGACGUGAAAGACCAAGCUAAUUUUCUUGCUAAGAGUAUUACUUGACUCUUUCGAUAUCUCUGUUGGUUUUGCGAAGCUGUGUUGGUCACGUUGAUUUAGUUUAUGUCUAAACUUGAAAGAAAAGGAACCGAAAGACCCAAGUUCUAAAUUGGACUUUUACAAUUUUAUAUAGGAAAAUACUAAUUCCAUUACUCGUGGGAUUCUGAUAGCCUACACGCCCUUUAUGGACUUUCUCAUUAAUCCAAUUCAAAGUUGGUUAACUUAUAAGUCCUUUCUUAACAUUUUAUAUAUCUUUAUAUAUAAAUAUUAAUUAUAUAUAUAGUUCAACCAAGAGAUAUGUUUUAAUUUUAUAUUCCAAAUAGAAAACUUUAAUUUGUUCACAAUAUUAAUUAUAUCCUUUGUGCUAGCAAAGAAUAUAAUAAUAUUUCAUUUGGACUAAUAACUAAAUUUAUUUGACUAAUUAAAUUCUUUAACUUAAUUAUCAAAUAAUAAAGUAAUUAAUCCUUUAGCAAAGAUCAGAACACUCGUUAAUGUGCGACCCCAUAGGUUCAAUACUAAGCCGGUAGUAAAUUAAUAAUAUCAAUAUACUAAUCAAGGGUGGCGUCUAGCAACACUCCUUAACAAGGGCGGAUUUAGGGGGGCGGAAGGGGGUUCGCCGAAAAAUUACACUAUAUAUAUAAGGCAAAAUCGGUUUUUUACCUCUAUGUAUUAAGUUUUGAACCUCCUUGACACAACCCGAAAGUGUAGCUUAGUGGUCAAAGGGGUUCAAAAUCUUUGAAAGGUCAUAAGUUCAAUUCCCACUAGCUACGAUUUGUUUUUCUUGAACCCCCUUCGAUGAGAUCCUGGCUCCGCCACUGCUCCUUAACGACUGGAUAGAAUGAAGUAUACAAUUUACUCUCAAAUCCUAAUAGGCGACCAACUAUGUGUUCAUAUCAAAUAUAAUUGACCAUUGAAUGACCUAAGAAACUCUUUUCUUCUUUCAUUCAAUUGCCCUGGCCAAAGUCUUAGUUUGGUCGUUUAUAAUCCAUAACAACAUGGAGCUUAAACUCAUUACCAAUAAUUGACAGAUUUCAUCUUGAUCAAUCACUAAUUCUACAAGCAUUUAAUCAUGCCCAUUAUCCUUUCAACUAUCGCCCUAGGGCCAUAGGUGUCUAGUCAAAAUUGGUCAUACUUUAUUUCCUAGUCAAAAUAUCUCAUUCUAACUAUUCUGAUUGUUUUUCUUUUCUUGAGGCAUAAUAAUAAUAAUACAUAUUAGAGAGCCAAUUAAUUAUUGAGAUCUGUAUAAAUUAUAAUUUUUGAGAAGCAAUGGGAUACUCACACAAAAACAUUCAUAAAGCAUGACUUGUUAUUCUUAAUGUGACAUUUCUUUAGUUUGGUUGACUCUUCAGUAUUCUUCUUAAUCACUAAUUAUUAUUUAUCUCACAUCAUUUCCAUAUUGUGAUGCUAUAGAACUGUUCUUGUCAAUAUGUAUAUUGAUACAUAUGUGACAAUAUUUUCAUUCAUGUUUGCAUGUUGUUUUCAUGUUAUAUCAAAAAGAAAAUGAUUUUGAUAAUUAUAAUGGCGAAUAUUAUAGUCAAAACACGGAAGACACUAACUUUGGCUUCACGUGAUAUCCAUCCCAAUUUCUCAGGAUUCAAAAGGGGACUACUCCCACAACUUGAUGAUUUAAUCACUUGUGGAGAACCCUGCAUUUUCAAUUUAAACUGCUACCAUUUGUUAGUUCUUCUCUAGGAAUGUAUACUAGGAUUGUGAUAGUCAAAUAGGCCAUCGGUGUCUAAUUUCAACAAAUUAACAAAGUUACUUUACCCGUCGAUUUUGUCCCCAAAUUCCUCUUACACACGGAAAUAAUAUUACACACCAAAACUUUUAAAGGUUUGUCUAUUACGCACCACUUCGAUACUUGACCACAUCUUCUUAAGGAUUGCAAUUACACGCGUCAAUCAGCAUCCGACACGUGUCAUAAAUCAAGAAAAAAAACUGAAGAGGUGUGUAAUAGAAUAGACACAUGUCAGAUGAUUUUUUUAGCUUUCACGCGACUCUUUUAUGUGUGAUACAAGCGUGUGUGACACAUGGCAAAAGAGGUAUGUAAUAGACACUUUUAAAAAAUUUGAUGUGUAACAUUAUUCCCGUGUUUAACAUGCGUGAAUGAGGGAUUUGGGGACAAGGUCAAUGGGUAAAAUAUGUAUUUUACCUUGAUUUUUUAGUAAUUUGAUUUGUUAUAAGAAGAUAUUAGUGAAAACUAAACUAUGUUUAAGCAACGUCAUACUAAAAAUAAUACUUCAACUUUAUAAAUAUUUUUUUGUGAGUAUCUCAUUUCUUUUCAAAGGAAUAUAUAUACAUACCUCAAAUGAAUUGGCUCUCUAUGGUAGAUUGUAGGAGUUUCUUUAUUGACUUGUUUUAUGUUCAAGAAAUGCCAAAAUCUUUAAGAUAACACAAUUUAUAAUUUAGCCAUUACUCUUUUGCACCUUCUAAAAAUUAAAUUUUGCAUUCAAAUAGUUAAAAAAACAAAUAUUCUAACAGAGUAAAGUAUAGUAAAUUGUGCUUCUCAGCUGUCCCAAUUAAAAAUAAUGAAUUGUGCUAAUUACAAAUUAAUUAUUUUCUAAAGAUACACGUAAUAAUUAUUUUCUUGGUUUGCUAAAACUUUUAGAAGUACUUCUCAUUAGUGGCUUUAUAUGUGUCUUUAAUAUCAGUGGGUAACGGUUGCUACGUGUUAAAAGUUAACCACUAUUAUUAGAUACAGAUAAAACCAUCUAUAUGCAUUAGUGUACAUUUCAUGCGCUUGAUCGCGUUAAUAUAAUAUCAAGAAAUACUAUCAAAAUUUUAAUCAAACUUUUAACUGUAAAGUUUUUGGUCCCCAGUUUUAAAAGAGAAAAGCGCACAUUUUCUUUAAAGGGAAAUGGUUAAAUUUGUUGUUCUACUAUAAAUUGAGCAACUUUACCCUUUAUUAAACUUUGGUCUAAUAUUACUUCUACCAUUAGUAUAAGUCAUGUUUUCCCUUAACCCUAAGGGAGCACUAAAAAAGCGCCAACUUGAGAUAAUUUUAAAGCAUAAAGUUGAUGAAUAAAACUUUUUUUAGAAAAUUUUGGACACAUGGAUCCACUCAUUUUGCGUUAGAGCUCUGUUAAUGGCAAGACGAAUAUGAGAAAGUUUACUAAUAGGAAGGUUAUAAGUGUACCAAAAGUGUAACUGACAGCCAAAUUAAGCAAUUUUGGAUAGUAUCGGAGUAAAUUUUCUCUUUCUCUAAUAAAGUGGAUAAUAUGUUUCCAAUACCAUAUUCAGUAUGCACAUCUUAACCUCAAAAUACUAUGGAUUGGUUCCAUCUUCAAUUCCCAAUUACAUCUUCCUAGAAUGGAUCUAAAAUUACAUUGACUCAUUAUUUUUAAUUGGGUCAACCUAGAAACACAAUUUAUCAUACUUCAUUCCUAGUCAACUUGGCUCAGUCUAACUAUUUAAUAGUGAUUUUCUUUUUCCGGGAUAUGUAGGGGAAAAUGAAUAAAUCAUAGAUUGCAUAAUUUAAGAUAAAAGCAAACCUUGGCAUGUGUUGAACAUAUUACAAUUUAGAAAUAUUUAAGAAAAAAGAAACAAAUCUAAUAAAAUAAUAGAGAGUCGAUACAUUUUAGGGAAAUAUAAUACUACAACCUUUGAAAAGCAAUGAGAUGCUCACACAAAAAAUAUUCAUAAAGCGUGAAGUAUUAUUCCUAGAAUGGCAUUGCUUAAGCUUGAUUUUCUUAGUUAAUCUUUUCAUGACUACCACUACUAAUUAGUAUUCAUUUCUUCUUUAUAGAUUGUAAUUCUAAAUUAUUGUUCUUGUCAACAUGUGUGUCGACACUUAUGCGACUAUGUACAUAAUUCAUACUCUUUCUGUUUCAAAAAGAUUGGCAUUAUUACUAUUUGGGAAGUCUACGAGGUUGUUCUUUGAUCACGUUUUUGUUAAACAUUUUAUAAAUAUUUUGAAUUAUGACUUAUAAUACUUUUAUGUAGUUUUUGAAAAUAUAAAUUUUAUUUUCAAAACAUUGAAGAAUUUAUGUCCAAAUCUACUGUUAUCCUCGUACUCCGAACUAUGCCAAUAUUUUUGAAAGAGAAAGGAGUGUAUAUUUAUGUACAUGUUUUUAUGCAUGUUGGAAUGUGUAUUUUCAUGUUAAUGAUGAUAGUGAAUAUCACUGGAAGUAAGCGUGAGUAUAGGUCAAAACUUUUAACAACUUCACUGCCUAUAUAAUAAUUUAACCUUCCACUGAGAAAACAUGCAGUAUAUUUCCAAUAAACAUUUUAUUUUUAGCAGCUCAUAGAGCUUGUCAAAAUAACAAUGCCUGUAACAACGUAAACAACAAUGAGGGAAUAAAAAGGACGAUAGCACUUUCAGCACGUUUAAAAAUCUAAUCAUGAAAGUGUUAAGACCUCCGUGAUAUUACGUCCCGAAUUUAAGCAUGUUAAAAAUCUAAAGCCCUUAAUUAAGAAUCAAACAACUGGUAACGAAAAGUAUAAUGAUCGAAGACUACAGAUCUGAAAAUUGUGAAAUAGAACAUACUAGGGCUUGUGAUUGAACGCACCGUUUGAAGACGGAGAGGCGUAAGUGUUGAAGUGCGGCGUAAGAGCAGCUUCAGGAAUUCUGCCGGCGGCGGCGGUGGCGGUGGCGGUAGCGGUGUCUUUUUAUCUUUUGUGAACAAAACAGUGGCACAUCGAUUGAAUUUGAAUUGAAGUGUGAGGAGUGAUGGCUAUUUAAG